UUUGAUGAUUUUAUGGCGGAGAAGGAAGCUGUAUCUUCAAAAUGUGUCAAUUUGGCUAAAGAGAUUCAAGUUUUUCAACAGGAGUUAUUAUCUAUGAAAAAAGUACAACAGGAAUGUGAAAAACUUGAGGAGGAUAAAAAGAUGUUGGAAGAAGAAAUAUUAAAUCUUAAGACACAUAUGGAAAACAGUAUGGUAGAACUUAGUAAACUACAAGAAUAUAAAUCAGAGCUAGAUGAAAGGGCAAUGCAGGCAGUAGAAAAAUUAGAAGAAAUCCAUUUACAGAUCGAAUAAGAAAAUAGCAAUGAUCAGUAUCAGCUCUUUAUGGAGAAAGAGCAGGUGAAAUAUUUUCUCAGCACUCUUCCUACAAGGCGAGGUCGAGAGUCACCUUGUGUUGAAAAUCUUACUAGUAUAGGACUCAACAGAAAAUAUAUUCCCCAAAUGCCCGUAAGAAUUCCUACUUCAAACCUCAGACUUCAAAUAACUGCCAGAACUACUUGACUGAGGUUAGUUAUAUGACCGUUUCUCUUUAGGGUUUCAUUUCUCUAGCGUAAUUCUUGUUUAUAAUUUGGUGAAAUACUGAGUUGUUCUGUUGACUUUUGCAUGUGAAGUAAAGAUCAUAAUUAGCUGUGUUAACACAGAAAGGAAAUGGGAACUUUACAUUUUUUAAUUCCCUGGAGCUCUCAUUUUCAAGAGAUAUCCAUUUGCUAACUUUAUUCAAUAAAU
This 723-nucleotide long non-coding RNA is filed under the name Homo sapiens (human). RNAcentral describes it as "long non-coding RNA NONHSAT005682". Lineage: Eukaryota; Metazoa; Chordata; Mammalia; Primates; Hominidae. The record is from RNAcentral.